UUGAUCCUGGCUCAGGACGAACGCUGGCGGCGCGCCUAACACAUGCAAGUCGAACGAGCGAGAGAGAGCUUGCUUUCACGAGCGAGUGGCGAACGGGUGAGUAACGCGUGAGGAACCUGCCUCAAAGAGGGGGACAACAGUUGGAAACGACUGCUAAUACCGCAUAAGCCCACAGCUCGGCAUCGAGCAGAGGGAAAAGGAGCAAUCCGCUUUGAGAUGGCCUCGCGUCCGAUUAGCUAGUUGGUGAGGUAACGGCCCACCAAGGCGACGAUCGGUAGCCGGACUGAGAGGUUGAACGGCCACAUUGGGACUGAGACACGGCCCAGACUCCUACGGGAGGCAGCAGUGGGGAAUAUUGCACAAUGGGGGAAACCCUGAUGCAGCGACGCCGCGUGGAGGAAGAAGGUCUUCGGAUUGUAAACUCCUGUUGUUGAGGAAGAUAAUGACGGUACUCAACAAGGAAGUGACGGCUAACUACGUGCCAGCAGCCGCGGUAAAACGUAGGUCACAAGCGUUGUCCGGAAUUACUGGGUGUAAAGGGAGCGCAGGCGGGAAGACAAGUUGGAAGUGAAAUCUAUGGGCUCAACCCAUAAACUGCUUUCAAAACUGUUUUUCUUGAGUAGUGCAGAGGUAGGCGGAAUUCCCGGUGUAGCGGUGGAAUGCGUACAUAUCGGGAGGAACACAGUGGCGAAGGCGGCCUACUGGGCACCAACUGACGCUGAGGCUCGAAAGUGUGGGUAGCAAACAGGAUUAGAUACCCUGGUAGUCCACACCGUAAACGAUGAUUACUAGGUGUUGGAGGAUUGACCCCUUCAGGGCCGCAGUUAACACAAUAAGUAAUCCACCUGGGGAGUACGACCGCAAGGUUGAAACUCAAAGGAAUUGACGGGGGCCCGCACAAGCAGUGGAGUAUGUGGUUUAAUUCGACGCAACGCGAAGAACCUUACCAAGUCUUGACAUCCUGCGACGGACAUAGAAAUAUGUCUUUCCUUCGGGACGCAGAGACAGGUGGUGCAUGGUUGUCGUCAGCUCGUGUCGUGAGAUGUUGGGUUAAGUCCCGCAACGAGCGCAACCCUUACUGUCAGUUACUACGCAAGAGGACUCUGGCAGGACUGCCGUUGACAAAACGGAGGAAGGUGGGGAUGACGUCAAAUCAUCAUGCCCUUUAUGACUUGGGCUACACACGUACUACAAUGGCGUUAAACAAAGAGAAGCAAGACCGCGAGGUGGAGCAAAACUCAGAAACAACGUCCCAGUUCGGACUGCAGGCUGCAACUCGCCUGCACGAAGUCGGAAUUGCUAGUAAUCGUGGAUCAGCAUGCCACGGUGAAUACGUUCGCCGGGCACUUGUACACACCGCCCGUC
Molecule: ribosomal RNA, 1365 nt
Filed under: uncultured bacterium
Lineage: Bacteria
Description: 16S ribosomal RNA
Rfam family: Bacterial small subunit ribosomal RNA
Source: RNAcentral